RNAcentral lists this ribosomal RNA (458 nucleotides) under uncultured bacterium. Its description in RNAcentral is "partial 16S ribosomal RNA". It matches the Rfam family "Bacterial small subunit ribosomal RNA", at positions 338 to 795 of the family's 1533-position model. The record is from RNAcentral.
CCUACGGGAGGCAGCAGUGAGGAAUAUUGGUCAAUGGGCGAGAGCCUGAACCAGCCAAGUCGCGUGAGGGAGUACUGCCCUAUGGGUUGUAAACCUCUUCUGCCGGGGAGCAAAAGCUGGACGUGUCCGGCUGUGAGAGUACCCGAAGAAAAAGCAUCGGCUAACUCCGUGCCAGCAGCCGCGGUAAUACGGAGGAUGCGAGCGUUAUCCGGAUUUAGUGGGGUUAAGGGGUGCGCCGGCGGAUUUUGAAGUUAGCGGUAAAAUCGUGGGGCUCAACCCCAUCCAGCCGUUGAUAUUGGGGAUCUAGAGUGUGCGAGAGGUAUGCGGAAUGCGAGGUGUAGCGGUGAAAUGCAUAGAUAUCACGCAGAACCCCGAUUGCGAAGGCAGCAUCCCGGUGCACAACUGACGCUCAGGCACGAAAGCGUGGGUAUCGAACAGGAUUAGAUACCCUAGUAGUC